Flavobacterium succinicans is the source of this 85-nucleotide small RNA. It matches the Rfam family "Flavo-1 RNA". NCBI's taxonomy places the organism in Bacteria, Pseudomonadati, Bacteroidota, Flavobacteriia, Flavobacteriales, Flavobacteriaceae. The record is from Rfam.
UUUUUGCGUUAGGGAUUGUAGUGGAAAUCCUUUUUUGAGGCUCUUUUUGCCUCAAAAAAGAUUGUAGCGAAAUGCCCGACCCUUG